AUUGAACGCUGGCGGCAGGCUUAACACAUGCAAGUCGAGCGGGGUGAUGGUGCUCGCACUAUCACUUAGCGGCGGACGGGUGAGUAAUGCUUAGGAAUCUGCCUAUUAGUGGGGGACAACAUCUCGAAAGGGAUGCUAAUACCGCAUACGUCCUACGGGAGAAAGCAGGGGAUCACUUGUGACCUUGCGCUAAUAGAUGAGCCUAAGUCGGAUUAGCUAGUUGGUGGGGUAAAGGCCUACCAAGGCGACGAUCUGUAGCGGGUCUGAGAGGAUGAUCCGCCACACUGGGACUGAGUCACGGCCCAGACUCCUACGGGAGGCAGCAGUGGGGAAUAUUGGACAAUGGGGGGAACCCUGAUCCAGCCAUGCCGCGUGUGUGAAGAAGGCCUUAUGGUUGUAAAGCACUUUAAGCGAGGAGGAGGCUCUUUUGGUUAAUACCCAAGAUGAGUGGACGUUACUCGCAGAAUAAGCACCGGCUAACUCUGUGCCAGCCGCCGCCGUGA
RNAcentral lists this ribosomal RNA (503 nucleotides) under uncultured bacterium. RNAcentral's name for it is "partial 16S ribosomal RNA". It matches the Rfam family "Bacterial small subunit ribosomal RNA", at positions 30 to 523 of the family's 1533-position model. The record is from RNAcentral.